RNAcentral lists this ribosomal RNA (429 nucleotides) under Bacillota bacterium. Its description in RNAcentral is "Firmicutes bacterium partial 16S ribosomal RNA". It matches the Rfam family "Bacterial small subunit ribosomal RNA", at positions 355 to 776 of the family's 1533-position model. Lineage: Bacteria; Bacillati; Bacillota. The record is from RNAcentral.
UAGGGAAUCUUCCACAAUGGACGCAAGUCUGAUGGAGCAACGCCGCGUGAGUGAAGAAGGUUUUCGGAUCGUAAAGCUCUGUUGUUGGUGAAGAAGGAUAGAGGCAGUAACUGGUCUUUAUUUGACGGUAAUCAACCAGAAAGUCACGGCUAACUACGUGCCAGCAGCCGCGGUAAUACGUAGGUGGCAAGCGUUGUCCGGAUUUAUUGGGCGUAAAGCGAGCGCAGGCGGAAUGAUAAGUCUGAUGUGAAAGCCCACGGCUCAACCGUGGAACUACAUCGGAAACUGUCAUUCUUGAGUGCAGAAGAGGGGAGUGGAAUUCCAUGUGUAGCGGUGGAAUGCGUAGAUAUAUGGAAGAACACCAGUGGCGAAGGCGGCUCUCUGGUCUGCAACUGACGCUGAGGCUCGAAAGCAUGGGUAGCGAACAGG